UGGGCAGAUCAGACGGCCGCGGGGGCGAGAGCCUUCGAGGAAAGUCCGGACAUCACAGGGCAGGGUGGUCGAGGGAUCGACCCGGGGAAACCCGCGGGAAAGUGCCACAGAAACAAACCGCCUACGUCCGCCGUCCCACGUGAACGGCGGGCCGGCAAGGGUGAAAUGGUGCGGUAAGAGCGCACCAGCGCCGCGCUGACGCGGCGGCUGGGUAAACCCCGCCCGAUGCAAGGCCAAAUCGGACCGCUUGCAGGCUGCCCGCCGAGGUCCAGGUAGGCCGCUCAGAUGGAUGGCCGUUCAACGACAGAAUCCGGCUUAUCGAUCCGCUAAGGAG
RNAcentral lists this RNase P RNA (334 nucleotides) under Solirubrobacterales bacterium. RNAcentral's name for it is "RNase P RNA component class A". It matches the Rfam family "Bacterial RNase P class A". From Rfam's summary of the family: Ribonuclease P (RNase P) is a ubiquitous endoribonuclease, found in archaea, bacteria and eukarya as well as chloroplasts and mitochondria. Its best characterised activity is the generation of mature 5'-ends of tRNAs by cleaving the 5'-leader elements of precursor-tRNAs. Lineage: Bacteria; Bacillati; Actinomycetota; Thermoleophilia; Solirubrobacterales. The record is from RNAcentral.